AUUGAACGCUGGCGGCAUGCCUAACACAUGCAAGUCGAGCGAGCGGCGGACGGGUGAGUAAUGUCUGGGAAACUUCCUGAUGGAGGGGGAUAACUACUGGAAACGGUAGCUAAUACCGCAUACUAUCAGAUGUGCCCAGUUGGGAUUAGCUGGUAGGUGGGGUAACGGCUCACCGAGGCGACGAUCCCUAGCUGGUCUGAGAGGGUGACCAGCCACACUGGAACUGAGACACGGUCCAGACUCCUACGGGAGGCAGCAGUGGGGAAUAUUGCACAAUGGGCGCAAGCCUGAUGCAGCCAUGCCGCGUGUGUGAAGAAGGCCUUCGGGUUGUAAAACACUUUCAGCGGGGAGGCGUUACCCGCAGAAGAAGCACCGGCUAACUCCGUGCCAGCAGCCGCGGUAAUUC
This 406-nucleotide ribosomal RNA is filed under the name uncultured bacterium. Its description in RNAcentral is "partial 16S ribosomal RNA". It matches the Rfam family "Bacterial small subunit ribosomal RNA", at positions 30 to 526 of the family's 1533-position model. The record is from RNAcentral.